AUGGAGUAUGUGCAUAAAGAAUUGAGUUGGAGAGGGCAGCUACUUGGCUCAGUAAUCUGGUCUCAGACAUUUCCUACCUAUGUGACCCUGGACAAGUCACUUAACAUUCCCCCCCACACACACACACACACACUGCGCCCAUUGCCUUCACUUUCCUGCUCUUCUGACUUGGAGCCAAUAUACUAUUCUAAGACAGAAGAAAAGCAGAUGCAGUAUCCUGAAGUUUCUGAAAUUCUAAACCUGGAAAGGGUCGAGGGGAUCGUUAUAGGAGAAAGAGAGGGAAGAAGAGAGGGAGAAAAAAAAUUUGUUAUUGAUCACCAAGAUUUGUUUUCUUCUCUCUACAUAUGGGUCAAAAGAAUCAACCUCACAACAAAAGAUGGUGAAGGCAUAGCUAUGCAAAAAUUAAUCUUAAGAAGAUCUCAGCUUCUUGGAGGACAGUGGAUCAAGGAGUCAGCAAUGUGUCAUGACAAAAACAAGGGAAAAAAAGAAUAUAAUGCCAUUAUAGGAUUCAUUAAGAAAGGUCUUAGAAGAGUACCUGACAUGGCAAAGGUGCUAAGUGCAGGCUUGCUGACCGAUUGACUGAUUAAGCAAAGAACUGGAUGAGAAAAUGCAUACCCACUAUGAAGGAUGAAACGGAAUAGGGAACACAAAUGUAAUCAAAUAUUAUCUCAAUAUAAGAGAUAUGAAAAAGUUAAAGAAACCUCACAAGGCUUGUAUGAAUUGAACUGAAUAAAGAAGACAAUUUGGGAAAUGGACA
This 757-nucleotide long non-coding RNA is filed under the name Monodelphis domestica (gray short-tailed opossum). Its description in RNAcentral is "lncRNA (ENSMODG00000034475.2)". Lineage: Eukaryota; Metazoa; Chordata; Mammalia; Didelphimorphia; Didelphidae. The record is from RNAcentral.